GAAGGAGCGAAGAUGGCGGAGUGAGGCGUGCCCCGGGCAGCUGGCCUACGGGCCCGGGGCAGGCCUCCCGCGGGGAGCGGAAUACUUGUCCUGGACUGUGUGAGGAACCUGUCACACAAGGUGGAUAUCUUCCUGACCUUAGGUGCUUUUAUAUUCAGCUCAACAUUCUGAACUCAGGACUUGGCAAGAAUUUCUACGUGGACUGCUCAGUGAGGCAUCCUGAUUCUUCAUCCAGUUCCUUCCCCCAGUGAGAUGCGGAUGUCUUUUGACAGAUUACCUCCAUGGUGUAGGAUGCUUUUCUUUUACUUCUUGUCAGACUCAACACAGAAAAGCCCUGAGGAUGCAGCUGUCCUGUUGACUUCAGGAAGAAAAGAAACAACUGACUUGGGUCUUCUGUAGUUUUUUAAUUAGAAAGACACUGUUUGCAAGUAGAAGGAAGAUGUUGAAUUUGAAACAAGUGCUUAGGUUGUGUGGUGUGAAUUGUUUUCUUUUUAAAAGAUCCAAACAAGAAGACUGAACAAAUACCAAUGAGGGUGACUUCAGGGUUUUUUUUUUUUUUUUUAAGUCUUCCAUUUUUAACACUAUUAUAAGCACAGUUGACACUGCAGUAGUAAAUUCCAAAUUUUAAUAUAAUUUGAGGUGAAAGAAAUGUUAUCUAAAUUCUGGCUCGCUCUUUGACAGACUUCCUGGACAAAAUCAAGAAACGAUAAAAGCAGAAAGGCAUGACACCAGGUUUGGUUUCGUGUGGGAGUGAAACUGUUAGAGUUUUAUGUGUAUAAAUCCACAUUUUUAAACAAGCUUUUUCUCUUGAAGAAGAAACCUGUUGUUUAUUAGAAGGCUUUGAUAAUCUUACGUGUUUGGGUUUUGUCUGUUUUCCUUUGCUUUUUCAAUCCUUCUCAGGAAGAACCAGCCGGGCCUGUGGCUAGUUCAGAGUGGGAAGAAAACGUAGGAUGGGGUGAUGCUCACCUUGUUCUGCCAGGGCUUGGGAGGCCAAGACAGGAAGAUCAGAUGUUCAGGACCAGCCUGGACAUCAUGAGACUCAAAACCAGCAAGAAAACAGCAGAGCCCAGUAACACCCUCUUUUAUAUUCCUUUUGUGGAAUCCCAUGUAGCAUGUGAGACUUUGGUUUUCCAUGUGGCUAUGACAGGAAGGGAAGUGGCAUAUGUGGUCUUUCGGUUAAGGUGAUAUUGCGGGCCCUGUUAUGUAACUUGCCUUCACCUUUGGACUUACAGGAAUGAAGGAAAAACUAAGGCUUGGCAUAUAAAUCCUUUUCUCUAAGAAAAGCAAAGUUGUCUAAUGUAGCAUCGUCAGACUUUUCAACAUUUUUACAUUAUAUAGUUGCAUUUUUUAUAAAAGUAUGAAUAAUUUUCUUCAACCCAAGAUGGGUACUUGGACAGAUUUUUUUUUUUUUUUAGGUGAUAAUGUAAUGUUAUAUUGAAAUUCUGGGACUCAGGUAACUUUUCCCAGUUUGAAUUGAGCUAUCUUACCAGAGAAUGGACCUCAGAAGCAAUGGUCCCAGUCCUGAGGUUGGUUCGCUAUCAUCUCAGAAGAGAUUUGGGAUCUGAACAAAACUUCAAGUAAGAGAAGCAGAUCCAAUAAGUGUGGAUAUAGUUGCUAGUCACUGUAGAUGUAAAGGAGAUUGUGGGGUGGGGGUGGGGAUAACUGGAGAAAACUAGUUCCAAUAAGAUAUAAAACAUUCUUUUCUUCCUUAAUAGUUACGUUAUAAGGAACUAUUGUGGAAACAUCUCCUUGCUUCCCAGUUAAUGGAAGUCCAUUAUAUGGGAUGCCAGGCGUUUACAUGAGAGGGUCCCAGUGUUUGCAACGGCUGCCAGCACAGAAGGAGCUUUAGCUUGGUAGAUGAGUUAGGAACAGAUGCUGUGGGAGCUGAUUCUGGAACAGUUUCUAGGUGCUUCAGUGCUGUGAAUUUGAGUCAUAGAAACAAUCAAAGUUAGGAAAUGUUGAACAUUCUUGGUUAGUCAGAUUGGACAACAUAUUUGAAUUUAUACUAAAAGCUUUUUCAUAAAUAUUUAUUAUAAAUAACCUAUUAAUGAGAGCAAAUAACGAUAAAACACUAGAGAAAUAACAAGUUAAAGGUAACCUAAAUUGCUGGGCUUGAUCGCCCACACUUGUAACCACAGUGUUGUGGAGAUUGAGGCAGGAGGACUGGCCACAAAGAUCAAGGCCAGCCUCAAAAUGAAACAAGAAUAUAACCCCCAUUUUUCAAGUGCCCCAACCACUUACAUUUUUAUUUAGAAGACAAAGCCAGCUGGUGAUUGAGAGCCACUCUUAGAUGCCCGCCCCAGCUGUCUGUCCUUCACCUUGCCCUCGGGCAGGCACUGCCUAACCAGGGAAGUGUCACCCAUUUGCUCCACACCUUGAAGUGAGUGUACUUUGUCAAAGAUGCUCCUGCAUCCUGCAUUGUCAACACCAAAUGGUGUUCACAGCACGAGUGGAUUCCAGCCCUAGUUGCCUGGUAUGUGGCACAUUUCCAUUUAUAGUUUUACAUGGGUUUUCUUAAAAGCAGCAAAAUUACCAUGUUAGAACUGUGCCUCCAUCUAUAGCCGUGCCUCCUUCCUUCUCCAUGUAAACUGGCAGUUUUUCUUUUGAAGUUACUAAACAAAAACGGGAUAUGUGCAAUAUAAAUAUAUAUAUAUAUAUAAUGUAUAUUUUAAUACUUGUGGACAAGUGUUACAAGUUGUUUAAGAACAACAAAAUCACCAAUGUCUUCCAUUUUGAGAUGUGUAUAGUUUUGUAAUCAGUAGUGCUUGGUAGCAUAUUGUAGUGUCAUGUUAGGGGUUAGUGCAUGAAUUUAGUAUAAUUUUAAACUACGAGAUGAAAUAUUGAUAAUAACCAGUAGUGUAAAAAGUGUGGAAAAUCCUAGACCUUUUUGUGUAUGAAUCUAUGGUAGCCUCCCUGGGGAUAGGAGAUAAAGACCAAAACAACUAAUGUCUGAACAGAAAUGUGGGUUCACACUGAGAAACAUUGUGCUUGGGGGAAUGUUAAGCCUCUAACAGGUCGCUAGAAAUAGUUGCCUUUGUAGCUCUUCAGUCCUCAGAGCAAGGCCAUGGUUCAUGGUUGUCUUGCUGUCUCAGUUUGAAGCUAGCUUGUUCUUGUAUUGACUUUGCAUUGUAUGUCUUGGGUUUAUUUUUCCUAUUUUGUGUCUAGAAAAUUUCUGUUUGCAUGUCUGAGAUGCUAUGCCGAUUGCUUUGGAAUGUUUACUCUGUGGCCAUUUCCUUUCCUGAUUGCAGCAUGUGUGCUGAUUGCAGAACCUUGUCAGCAAUUUGGAGUAUUCUGUGCUUUGACCAGUUCCACAUCUGACUUGGGUGUUGAGUCCAGUCUUUCUCAUAACUGAUAGCUCAGUGGGGCCCAUGUAGGUUGACAAGAAGUAUGUUGGCCUCUCCUUUUGCUUUGUUCUGAAAAAUAAAGUUUUCUGUAAAAUGGAAUUUCUACCUCUAAAAGCUGCCUAGGAAAUGUGGGAGUAACCAUUCUCUGGAGAGUUGUGGGUUGAUUGGUUUGGGUUUUUUGUUUGUUUGUUUGUUUGUUUUUUAAUUUGUUUGUUCCUGAGUUGUGGGUUGAUUGGUUUGGGUUUUUUGUUUGUUUGUUUAUUUUUUAAUUUGUUCCUUUUUAUAAUUUUUAGAAAUAGAAGUCCUGCUGGGUAUGGUGGUGGAUGCCAGUAAACUCCCAGCAUUUGGGAAGUGGAGGCAGGAAGAUCCAGAGUUCAAGGCCAUCCUCUGCUCCACAGUGAGUUGGAGGUCAGCCUGGGAUACAUGAGGAAAAGAGAAAGAGAAGCAUGUGCAGGGUUUAUUAGCGUGUAUUACAUUAGUAUGAUAGUAUUGGAUAUCCAGGGAGGUUUAUUAGCGUGUAUUACAUUAGUAUGAUAGUAUUGGAUAUCCAGGGACCCAGGAAUAGACCCUCAUAGGAUAGUAAUCACUCUUCACUCAAGUAGGUGUUAGUGCCUAGGAGAAUCUGCUUCUAAGAAGAUUUAAGAAACAAAGAGGAAAACUUGAAAAUGUAAUGCAUAUAAAGUAGCACAGUGUACAGGAAAGGACAUUCCUGCUGCAGAAAACAAAAGCCAUAAUGAACUAAUAAUAUGGUUAAGAGGUGGAAUUUUGUAGCAAUAAUAGUUCCGUAUAUAUGGUGAAUUGUGCUCACAAAGCUGUGUGGUUGAGUGGUUGGUUACUGGUUGGGUUUGUGGGGCCCUACAGUUCUAUAGAGCUUUGCAAAAGGAAAAACACAUCCUAAUUAAAAGGCAUUUAAACUAUGAAUGUAUGUGAAUAUAUCUGUGAAAAAAGUAUCAACUUUCAUAUAUGUGUUAAAGAUCCUAUUUUGUUUCUCCAGAGUUUACAGCUGUUGAAAUCUUUCUAGUGCUUAAUCUGGAAUCCCAGUGAAGCCAACCUGUAGGGGUCUUGCUUAAAUUGUUUGUAUUGAUAGUCAUUUACUAUAUAGAAUGUUCUAUGCUUUAUUCAAAUAAUAUAACCUUUAUUCAUUGGGUUUCUGGCUACUGUUUCAAAAGGAAAAGUUUGUUUUAUAUGUGAUUGGUGUGCCUCAGGGGCAGGGAGCCACAAGAACUUACUGUUUUUUCCUUGUACUUAAGCUCAAGGAUUAAAGGUGAACAAAAUGACUGGCAGUGCCCAGGCAGGGGGUUUCUGAGCAUCUGGUAAAUGUGUGUGAUAAGCUCAUGGCCAGUGUGCAUAUUCUUUCAACAAGAAUCCAGCAGACUCCUUCCUUCCUUAUCUGAGAUGUAAAAUGGAACUAGGACCACUUCUCUCUUCCUCCUUUACCUCAUGUCCAUUGUGGCCACUUAGCCCCUUCAACAUCCCUGGAAAGAUCUGGGUCUGUGUCCCUUUGUUUUCCCAGGGGAAGAAAAGUGAAAGAGUAGUUUUAUAGAUCUAAGACUCUUAUUUUAUUAUAAGCCUAAGGAUAGGGAAAAGGCUGAUUGAAGUGUAGUUUCUCUCUAGAUGAACUGUGCUGUCCAUGUUAGCUUUUGGGACAACCAAGCAAUAUUCAGAACACCUGCAUGAUCAUGGAGAUGUGACUAAUCCAUCAGAGAUUCCUUUAACAGCCAUUUUAUGGUUCUAAAUGCAAAAAUAUGCUACAAGAUUUUGUGGUCUCAAAAUAUGUGGUUAAUUAGUAUUCAGUCUUACUGUAGUCUCUUGUUUACUCUUUAUGUACCUGUGAUAUGCAAAAUAUGAAAAGACGCCCUAGCCUUCAGGAGUUUACAUUCUCAUGGUGCUGUAGGUGCAAGCAUACCGUCUCUAGUUUAUUCAGAACAUUGCUUGGCUAUGAAUUAUACCAUUUUGGAAGAACCCCUUGGCCAAGAGUUUUAAAAUGCAGAGGGCUGUGUUGAAUUUCAGGGCAUUACUGCUUGUGUUUACACUGUUUUAGCUCUGCUCCUCAACCCUCCAGAGAGCUGUUCAUUAAUACAAAUCAGAAAAGAAACCAUUCUGCCCAAGUACCCUCACCACCCUCCAGCUCUCAGUAAGUGGCCAAGAAAACUUAUUCCAUAAAGACUAUCACCUCAGUUCCUUUUUCCCAGGGCUUUACACUUAUUUACCUUCCAAGGGCCAGGAUUUCUAGCUAAGCCUUUUAGAACCAAACAGAAGUCUUAAGUUUAGCUUUUUCAUGUAUGACUUGUUUUGAAGCAGCAUCAUAGUAGAUAACAGCGUAUCUGAUUGCAUCUCUGAGGAAUUUGACUGACAUAUUUAGUUGAAGCUUUGCAUGUAUCAUUGCUUUAUCCCAAGAUUCUGAAUCAAAGGGUUUGCAUGUUUAUUAAAACCAGGCCUGAUUGAAAGUGUAAGCAAUAGUGGCAGGCCCAUAACUGAUUCUAGAAUGCUAACAUUCUAAUGCAUGGUUGAAAUUUUUCAUUGUUAGGUAGUUACUAGUAAUUUUAUAUAUGCAUUUAUCAAUAAUGAAGCAAUAGAUACUUAAACCAAUAGCUUGGUUUUAUUGUUUGAAUUAUUUUUAUUUUUUAAUUAAAGAUUAUCUUGCUUCCAUUGAAAAUUGGAAGUACAAGAUAAACAAGGGGCAACCACAAGACAUUCAAACUGUAAGGAAUACAACAAGCAGUGCUCACUCUGUUUCCUAGCUCUAUUUAUUCCCAAGCAUGUUUGCAAAUAAAAGAUAGACUAAGCAUGUUGAACAAACAGUUGUAAUCAGGAUGGUGCAGGGUUUCAGAAGAGUGGGAAAACAGGCUAAGUGGAGUCAUCAUCCUUCAGAAAUAACAGUGUUCUGUGCAAAGUAACUAGCUGAGGGACUUGUCUGAUUAGGUUUAUAUAGACUAAGUUUAGGGUUUCUUAAAUCUAUAGAUUGAGCCAGAUUCAUGGUCUGCAGUCCCUGAGCAGGCAGGAACUGGCCUGAGCGCCAUAGGCAGACUCCAGCAUCAGUGUGUACAUACUGCCAUUCAGUAAUGAGGCAUCUGUUCUGGAAGGUGCUGGCUGACCAUCUACAAAAUCCCCACACAAGGUUUUGUAGAGCUGCAGUUUGGCUUCUCAGAUAGUGCCUGUGGCUGGAUCUGCAACUGUAGAACUGGAGUUUUCUUUACAUGAGUUGAUCAAAAUGUGUAACUUGCCUGAAACUUGAUUCCUGAUGAAUAGGAAUUUUCUUCUUCCGAAAAAGACAUUUAUUUGGGUGAAUGAACAUUGGUUUGUUACAGUAGUGAAAGAACAGAAGUGUACCUACUGGCAGAACAUUUACCUGAAAAAUGGGUUCAGUUGCCAGCACUACAAAAAAAACUAAUGCUGGUAGUGUAAGAAUUUCUUGACUUUGAAAUGCAAGUUACAAAUGGUUUUGACAAAUGAUGAGAAGUAUUUAUAAUUUCUGAAAGACCUAAAUAGAUUUCAAGUAGAACUGAUUCACUGGGUUCAGUCCAAUUUACAUGUUAUAUGACAGAAAAAUAGUUUCAAAUUUAACUUUAGCUGUGGUACUUUGCUAUGGAUGUUGACUAGAAUGGAAACUCUCAACCUUCAGAACUGAAUUUCUGAGUUGUCAGUGUGAUGUUUGCUUUCCACUGAAACACAGGAAUUGAGGUGUAUGACGUAUCCCAAAUAGAAGAGUUCUUUGCCACUUACUGAUCCCUCUGCCGGCCAAUAAAGAUGGAAGGCCAGAGUUCUUCCUUCUACUGCCCUCUUCCUAAUAGUCACUGAAGUCAAGAUAUCAUUCAGCAAUAUGAUUACUGCUGAUUUUCCAAACAUUUUGACAUCUUUGGGAAUGGUGUGCUGUAUCCUUAAUUUAAAUGUUCUUUUGUGCUUAGGACAUAGCUCUUGAAGAACACUUGGACUCUGGGGCCAGUCCUCAUCACUGACACCCUAUCUCAAGGAUCAGACAAGUAUUCUGUUAGGGUGUUAUCAGUUCGUAAACAACAUUACUAGUCCGGGCAUUAACCUUACUUAAACUUAAGCAUCCUUUUAAUGAGAAAGAUUAAGAACAGUAAUCUACUUGAGAGUGCUGCGUUUUCUGCCCUUCAAGCAUAGGUGUCACUGUUCACUUGCCCUUGUAUUCUAUUGGGCCACCAGUGUAUGAGGUGAUGUUGAAGAGCUUCACUGAAUGUUUGAAGCACUACAAACGGCAGCUUCUUAAUCUAUGCAUCUUUGGGAGUUGUGAAGAAAUUUGUGUUCUUGGAAAAGGAACUGUUUUGAGAGUCUGAAACUGCACCUGUAUGUAUAUAUUGUUAGCAAUAAAGCAUGAGCAGAGAAUGCACUGAAAUUUCA
This is a long non-coding RNA of Rattus norvegicus (Norway rat), 7706 nucleotides long. RefSeq annotates it as OIP5 antisense RNA 1. NCBI's taxonomy places the organism in Eukaryota, Metazoa, Chordata, Mammalia, Rodentia, Muridae. The record is from RefSeq and is marked validated. The transcript has 3 exons.